This 585-nucleotide ribosomal RNA is filed under the name uncultured bacterium. RNAcentral describes it as "partial 16S ribosomal RNA". It matches the Rfam family "Bacterial small subunit ribosomal RNA", at positions 355 to 937 of the family's 1533-position model. The record is from RNAcentral.
UGGGGAAUUUUGGACAAUGGGCGAAAGCCUGAUCCAGCAAUGCCGCGUGUGUGAAGAAGGCCUUCGGGUUGUAAAGCACUUUUGUCCGGAAAGAAAUCCUUGGCUCUAAUACAGUCGGGGGAUGACGGUACCGGAAGAAUAAGCACCGGCUAACUACGUGCCAGCAGCCGCGGGUAAUACGUAGGGUGCAAGCGUUAAUCGGAAUUACUGGGCGUAAAGCGUGCGCAGGCGGUUUGCUAAGACCGAUGUGAAAUCCCCGGGCUCAACCUGGGAACUGCAUUGGUGACUGGCAGGCUAGAGUAUGGCAGAGGGGGGUAGAAUUCCACGUGUAGCAGUGAAAUGCGUAGAGAUGUGGAGGAAUACCGAUGGCGAAGGCAGCCCCCUGGGCCAAUACUGACGCUCAUGCACGAAAGCGUGGGGAGCAAACAGGAUUCAGAUACCCUGGUAGUCCACGCCCUAAACGAUGUCAACUAGUUGUUGGGGAUUCAUUUCCUUAGUAACGUAGCUAACGCGUGAAGUUGACCGCCUGGGGAGUACGGUCGCAAGAUUAAAACUUAAGGAAUUGACGGGGUCAUAGCUGUUUCC